Trichomycterus rosablanca is the source of this 183-nucleotide small nuclear RNA. RefSeq annotates it as U2 spliceosomal RNA. Lineage: Eukaryota; Metazoa; Chordata; Actinopteri; Siluriformes; Trichomycteridae. The transcript has a single exon. The record is from RefSeq and is a predicted model, not a curated record.
AUCGCUUCUCGGCCUUUUGGCUAAGAUCAAGUGUAGUAUCUGUUCUUAUCAUGAGCGGAGAAGACGACAGACUCACCCCGGUCCUGCAAAUAGGAGCAUGUUUUACCAGCGUUCUUUUACCGGACUUUUAUUGGACUUUUUAAACCGAUAUUAUUCUUCACUUUUAAAACCAGAUGAACUUUU